RNAcentral lists this ribosomal RNA (253 nucleotides) under uncultured bacterium. Its description in RNAcentral is "partial 16S ribosomal RNA". It matches the Rfam family "Bacterial small subunit ribosomal RNA", at positions 524 to 776 of the family's 1533-position model. The record is from RNAcentral.
UACGUAGGCAGCAAGCGUUGUUCGGAGUUACUGGGCGUAAAGAGUGUGUAGGCUGUUCUCUAAGUUUGGUGUGAAAUCUCCCGGCUUAACUGGGAGGGUGCGCCGAAAACUGGGGAGCUCGAGUAUGGGAGAGGAAAGCGGAAUUCCUGGUGUAGCGGUGAAAUGCGUAGAUAUCAGGAGGAACACCUGCGGUGUAGACGGCUUUCUGGACCAUCACUGACGCUGAGACACGAAAGCGUGGGUAGCAAACAGG